Lupinus albus (white lupine) is the source of this 457-nucleotide non-coding RNA. The record is from the annotation of a GenBank genome assembly. Lineage: Eukaryota; Viridiplantae; Streptophyta; Magnoliopsida; Fabales; Fabaceae.
CGGGUCGAAAUAUCCGGGUAAUCGGAUCCGUUAGCGAGACGGAACAACCCGAUACCGAGCCGCGUCCCGGCGGUGAGGUUGAUCGGAAAGAGGCCAGCAGGGUCACGACAAUCAAGAAGCGGUUCCAGCAACCCAGCGAGCCACUCAAAGGUGGAUGACGUCAUGUUAUAAGAGUUAACGAAUGAAUCGGGACUCCGAAGAACCGAACCGGGUUCAUCCGGGUCGAAUAAAUUGUGGGGGCGCUUACGUUUUCUUUUGGGGGAGAGGGUUGCGGCGAUUUGAUUAGAGAGGAGGAGGUGGUGGAUUAGAGGGAGGGAAUUAUUGUUGGGGAGGGAAUUGGAAUGAGUGGAAUUGGGAGGGAAAAUGAGGAGAAGUAGAAGAAGGAGUUGGGAGAUGAGGGAGGAAAGUAACGCAGCCAAUUUACGAGAUUCCAUGUGAUAUUGGGAACGGAAAUCGA